Molecule: ribosomal RNA, 290 nt
Filed under: uncultured bacterium
Lineage: Bacteria
Description: partial 16S ribosomal RNA
Rfam family: Bacterial small subunit ribosomal RNA
Source: RNAcentral
GAUGAACGCUAGCGGCAGGCCUAAUACAUGCAAGCCGAACGGCAAGUUGAGUAGCAAUACUUGACCUAGAGUGGCGUAAGGGUGCGUAACACGUAUGCAAUCUACCCGCAACAGGAGGAUAGCUCUCCGAAAGGGGAAUUAAGCCUCCAUGGGAUCAUGGGGUGGCAUCACUCCAUGAUUAAACUACCAGGGGUUGUGGAUGAGCAUGCGCAUGAUUAGUUAGUUGGCGGGGUAACGGCCCACCAAGACGAUGAUCAUUAGGGGAACUGAGAGGUUGAUCCCCACACUGC